RNAcentral lists this long non-coding RNA (230 nucleotides) under Malus domestica (apple). Its description in RNAcentral is "long non-coding RNA (MDOM_LNC004049)". The record is from RNAcentral. Lineage: Eukaryota; Viridiplantae; Streptophyta; Magnoliopsida; Rosales; Rosaceae.
GGUCGGAUUGUCGAAUCAUAUAAUAACCAAGUGGCUGCCCUUAAAGGAAAUAUAACCAAACAACCAAAUUCCGUCAAUAGGAUGUCUAGUAUGGAAUUGGGGCACCCAUUUUAGCCUAGGGAGGUCAAGUGGUGUCUCUGCCCACGUGCUGCCGCACGUGGCCCCGACUUACCGGAAAAUUCAACUAUUUUAAAAAAUUAUCAAAAUUUACAGUAAUGAAGAUUUCAAUG